Molecule: ribosomal RNA, 775 nt
Filed under: uncultured Neocallimastigales
Lineage: Eukaryota; Fungi; Neocallimastigomycota; Neocallimastigomycetes; Neocallimastigales
Description: partial large subunit ribosomal RNA
Rfam family: Eukaryotic large subunit ribosomal RNA
Source: RNAcentral
UACGACUACAUAUCAGGCAUAUCAAUAAGCGGAGGAAAAGAAACUAACAAGGAUUCCCUUAGUAACGGCGAGUGAAGCGGGAAGAGCUCAAAUUUGAAAUCUUCAAGGGUUUACCUUUACGAAUUGUAGUUUAAAGAAGUGUUUUCUGUUGGAGUUUCGGUAAAAGUUCUUUGGAAUAGGACAUCAUAGAGGGUGAGAAUCCCGUAUUUGACCGUUACUUUCCAGCUGUGUGAUACACUUUCAAAGAGUCGGAUUGUUUGGGAAUGCAGUCCAAGAUGGGUGGUAAAUUUCAUCUAAAGCUAAAUAUUGGCGAGAGACCGAUAGCGAACAAGUACCGUGAGGGAAAGAUGAAAAGAACUUUGAAAAGAGAGUUAAACAGUACGUGAAAUUGUCAAAAGGGAAGCGUUUGACACCAGUGUUGUUUAGUUGAAAAUCAAUUCAAUAGUUUUUGAUUCUAAGUAGUAUUGACUUCAUCAGCUUGCUGCUUUCUUCUCAGAAAUUAUUGAAUGCACUUUUCAGUUAACAAGUCAACAUCAAUUUCUUUUGUUGUAAAAGGGUAAGAGGAAGGUGGCUUGCGCUUCGGCUCACGUGUUUAUAGCCUUUUAUCUCUGCAAUCGGAGAGAUUGAGGUCUGCAGCGUAGAUCCUUCGGGGUUAGAUACAUUGGUGCUAAGCUAUAGCCUUGUAUAGACAACUUGUUGACUAUGCUCAGUCAUGUAGCUUACUCGCUGAUGCUAUUUUACCUACGCUUAGGAUGUUGAGCGCAUGUCUCUCUCU